Non-coding RNA from Pteropus alecto (black flying fox), 73 nucleotides. The record is from Rfam. Lineage: Eukaryota; Metazoa; Chordata; Mammalia; Chiroptera; Pteropodidae.
GGUUCCAUAGAGUAGUGUCUAACACGUCUCCUUUACACGCAGAAGGUCCUGGAUUCCAGCCCCAGUGGAGCCA